This 253-nucleotide ribosomal RNA is filed under the name uncultured bacterium. Its description in RNAcentral is "partial 16S ribosomal RNA". It matches the Rfam family "Bacterial small subunit ribosomal RNA", at positions 524 to 776 of the family's 1533-position model. The record is from RNAcentral.
UACGUAGGGUGCAAGCGUUGUCCGGAAUUAUUGGGCGUAAAGAGCUCGUAGGUGGCCUGUCGCGUCGGAUGUGAAAACUCGGGGCUCAACUCCGAGCUUGCAGUCGAUACGGGCAGGCUAGAGUUCGGCAGGGGAGACUGGAAUUCCUGGUGUAGCGGUGAAAUGCGCAGAUAUCAGGAGGAACACCGGUGGCGAAGGCGGGUCUCUGGGCCGAUACUGACACUGAGGGACGAAAGCUAGGGGAGCGAAUGGG